Molecule: unclassified non-coding RNA, 3138 nt
Filed under: Hevea brasiliensis (rubber tree)
Lineage: Eukaryota; Viridiplantae; Streptophyta; Magnoliopsida; Malpighiales; Euphorbiaceae
Source: RNAcentral
GAGAAGGUUAUCAUCUCCAAGCAACAGAAUUUGAGGUUUGAACGUUUCACUCCUAUAAAAUAAUGGUCUUGUUACUUUUAAAAUUACACACCAAUGAACCCCAAGAGCACAACUUAUCACACAAAAAACUGAGGUGAGAUUAAAAAAAAUGAACAGAGAAAAGCUGAAUCAAAGACAAAACUAAUGAGACAGUAGGACAAAUAUUUGAACAUUUUCCUAUUCCUCAAUGGAGAUAGUUUAAUUAACAUUUUAACCAUCUCUAACGCAGCUAUCAAUCUUCUGCAAAAAUGAAUGCAUCUUGGAAGUCAGAGCAAGAUUAGAGCGAGAAAAGCUGAAGAUAAUAGAGACUGAGCUUUAGAGGUUUCGAAGCUCAAACUUGAACUCCCUCCUUGAGGACUUAUGGGUCCAAAUGCCACUGGUGGAAAAAUUCUCCCACUCGUGCUUGAAUUUGAACUAUUUCAACAAAUUCACAAGAUUAGAGCCACCAAAACAAGUAAACAAUCAUAAACUUAAUUUUCUAGAAGGAAAUGUGGAUCAAUCAUAAGCAGAUUUAGAUUCUCACCUUCCUGUAAAUAUGCAGGAUCCAUAACCUGCAAACAGCACCAUUAGUGAAGAUGGCACAUGAAGAAAAAGAACAUAUAAACUAGAAAAUAAACAUCGCCAUAAAAAUGCUUGAUUGGAAAAAGAGUAAUGUCCUUGAACUGCUUUCCCUUCAUGUCCAAGAAUUGCAGGCAAAAACAAAGUUCAAUCCUUCUAGAAACUUGAACCAAAACAGAAUAGAACUUGUAUAUAAUCCAUAUGGCAAUUUGCAGGUUGAUGCAGUUUGGAGAACUCCGCUUGCCUCUUGAUUACACAACUUUUAAUUGAGACUUUUUAUUAAUAUGAUCCGCAAAGCACGAACAGUUGAGCAGAAUACUCAUCAGAUGUAUAACAUUUUCAGAUUCUCACACAACUGGUACUUCCCUUGGUUCAUGAGUAUACCAGUAUUAAAUAAGAUUUUUUAAUAACAUUAACCCAGGACACUCUGAUGAGCAGUAAUGCAUAUCCAUACAUAUCAUAUAAUCUAAAAUAUUUGAUCUAAAUGGUAUUAGAAUCCAUUUCAAACAAGUACAGAGAAAAAUCCUAUUACUUUCCAUGUUCCAAGACCUGUCUACUUCACAAGCAGAGAUCAUCUGCAUAACUAGUUUAUCAGAGAACCACUGACAUAAUUUUUGCCAAGACAAUGAAAUGGUACAAGCCAUUUGAAAUCCAUUUCAAAGAAAACCCAGGAGUUCUCAGCACACAUCCAGCAAGCAGUCUAUGGAAAUAGGCUAACUAUAUAGUGUCCAUCAAAAGAGUUAUUUCAGAACCAAAUCAAGAAUAAUGCAUGCAAAUAUUACAAGUUCAAUAAGUGACAAGAAAAGAGCAGAGGAACUUACUGGGAUCUACUGUAGUUGUUGUGGCAGUACCAUCAAAGUCGCAUGUUCCUCCAGUGCUAUGCAUUUUUUGAUAAUAAUCAUUAUAAGCAUAUGAUGCAUGGUUCUGGUAAGUAUUAGGAAGAUAACAAGGGUGUCCUUGUUGGAUAGCAGUGCAGUUAGCCCCACCUUGCCCACAAGCCCAGUUCAGCCCUUCUUGCAACUUUGCAGAAUCUGCAUUUUGUUUAGCAGCACAGAAGGUUACCGAAGAAUUUCCAGUAAUUCGAUUGGAAGUACUCAAACCAAGAGUAUAAACUGCAGUGCCAUUGGUGAAAAAUACGCCCCAGUUUCUCUUUGAUAAGGGCCCUGCCUUCUUGUCUUCAUUGAACAACUCAUAGAUGUAUGUAUUAAUGGGUAUGGUUGGCUGACUAGGUGGGCCUGAAUCAUUUAGAACUCGACGGAUCAAAUUAUUAUUGAAGGUCUCAGCAUUUUCAACAGUGGCAUCAGGCUCAUUGGCUCCACCAAGCCAAGGCCAGCCAGUCUCAGUAACAAUAAUGGGAAUCCCAGAAAUAUUGAAAGUGUCUAUAGCAUAAUAGGUUGCAUCCACCAUUGCAUCAAACAUGCUGUUAUAGUGAGAAAGAGUGUUGGGGUCAACAAUCUGCUUGACAGAGGGAAGUGGUCGGAAAAGAGCAUAAUCAAUGGGGAAAAUCCCAUUUCCAGUAGUAUAUCCAUGAUAAGGAUAGGCAUUCAACAUGUAAUACGAGUUGGUGUUCUUCAAAAAUUGAAGGAGCUGGUAAAUUGUAGAAUUCCAAGUAGAGCUAAAAGUGGCAGUUGAUGGUGGGAAAGGCUUAGGGAUAACAUCCAUGGAUUGAGGAGUUGAAACUUUGACCUGAAAAUUUAAAUUUGAAGAGACGAGGGCUUUAUGAAGGUAAUUCAUGGCAGGAACCAGAACAGCAGCAGCAUUAGGGAUCGAGGUGAGAACCUCAUUGCCAACUGCAAUUGCUGUAAUGUUGGUCGAAGGUACAUAAGAAGCAACUUUUUUAUUAAUCCAUGCUGCAGCUGCUGCUGGAGAUUCCCCAAUCCCUAGGACUUCCCCAUUUGUAAUACCAACCAUAACUUCAAUCCCACUGUUUGCAAGGGCUUUCAACAUGUGAGCAUCAGCAUCAUAGAGGCGCACAUGAGUAAUUUGAUUGGCUUUAAGGAUUGCAACCACAUCUGAAGCUGAUGGCAUGUUGGAGACAUCAGUUCCAAUGUUUAUUCCUAGAUAUGCACCUACUGCGUUGCUGAACAUGACAACUAGGAGUAAAAGAAGACUUCCAAACCAUUUUUUGAGCACCAUUCGAUCCCAAAAGCUUUUGCUUUUUAAGCCUUAGCUGGAGCUAAACUGUAAGCAGCCUACAAAGAGUUAACAAAUCGCUGAAACCCACAGCAAAAACUACUUAAAACAACACAACAAAAUGAGCAGUAACCAGUGAGCACCCAAUACUAAGAAUCCAAAGCACAGUCCAGACAGAUUCCUGAAGCCCCACUAAAGUAAUGGCAUUUCUUUGUAUGAGGAAAAACCACACAACACUGCCCCAGUAACACACUCGGUAGAGCUAAUACAAUCAGCAAUCUACCAUUAAAUACAACAAAAGUACUUUCAAACCAGACCCCACCAUAUGAAAAACUACAAAUAGAUAAAUUACAUAAUUAUUAGAAGGUUACAGAGAAGAGAAGCCUCUAAUGGUAGCUUUUCCUUCGU